UACGUAGGGCGCAAGCGUUAUCCGGAAUUAUUGGGCGUAAAGAGCUCGUAGGCGGUUCGGCAAGUCGGGUGUGAAAUUUCGAGGCUCAACCUCGAAACGCCACUCGAUACUGCUGUGACUGGAGUCCGGUAGAGGAGUGCGGAAUUCCUGGUGUAGCGGUGAAAUGCGUAGAUAUUGGGAGGAACACCAGUGGCGAAGGCGGCUCACUGGACCGGUUCUGACGCUGAGGCGCGAAAGCGUGGGGAGCAAACGGGG
This 255-nucleotide ribosomal RNA is filed under the name uncultured bacterium. RNAcentral describes it as "partial 16S ribosomal RNA". It matches the Rfam family "Bacterial small subunit ribosomal RNA", at positions 524 to 777 of the family's 1533-position model. The record is from RNAcentral.